RNAcentral lists this ribosomal RNA (311 nucleotides) under Pantoea sp. CAR48. RNAcentral describes it as "bacterial SSU rRNA". It matches the Rfam family "Bacterial small subunit ribosomal RNA", at positions 958 to 1268 of the family's 1533-position model. The record is from RNAcentral. Lineage: Bacteria; Pseudomonadati; Pseudomonadota; Gammaproteobacteria; Enterobacterales; Erwiniaceae.
AACGCGAAGAACCUUACCUGGUCUUGACAUCCACGGAAUUCGGCAGAGAUGCCUUAGUGCCUUCGGGAACCGUGAGACAGGUGCUGCAUGGCUGUCGUCAGCUCGUGUUGUGAAAUGUUGGGUUAAGUCCCGCAACGAGCGCAACCCUUAUCCUUUGUUGCCAGCGGUCCGGCCGGGAACUCAAAGGAGACUGCCAGUGAUAAACUGGAGGAAGGUGGGGAUGACGUCAAGUCAUCAUGGCCCUUACGACCAGGGCUACACACGUGCUACAAUGGCUUCAUACAUAAAGAAGCGACCUCGCGAGAGCAAGC